RNAcentral lists this long non-coding RNA (340 nucleotides) under Anas platyrhynchos platyrhynchos (common mallard). Its description in RNAcentral is "lncRNA (ENSAPLG00000017441.1)". The record is from RNAcentral. Lineage: Eukaryota; Metazoa; Chordata; Aves; Anseriformes; Anatidae.
AGCAGGCUGGCUUGAGUGAGAUCAGAGCGUGGGCCAAUGCCAGUGCUCCUUUUGUCUGAUUCAUCAGGGUGUGUUUGUAUUUAUGUGGACACUUACAUGACUGCAUCAUCCCUUGGUGGCUGCAAGGAAAUUUGAGCCCCAGGCACCUUAUCCAGAGUCCUUCCUGGGCUGGGCUAUAGAGGAAUGGUUGUACCCACAGCAGAAGGAAAGCAAAGGGUCCAAACAGCAGCUCUGCAAAGCCUUGUGUAUGGGAAGUAGGCAGAAACAAACCUGGAGGUCCCUGCUCUGGUAAGUGUCUUUUGUUCUUCAAGAGGACAUUACAGAUCUCUUUUAUUCAUAC